UACAGAGGGUGCGAGCGUUAAUCGGAAUUACUGGGCGUAAAGCGUGCGUAGACGGUUUUGUAAGUCGGAUGUGAAAUCCCCGGGCUCAACCUGGGAAUUGCAUUCGAGACUGCAAGGCCUGGGUGCGGAAGAGGGAAGCGGAAUUUCCGGUGUAGCGGUGAAAUGCGUAGAUAUCGGAAGGAACAUCAGUGGCGAAAGCGGCUUCCUGGUCCAGCACCGACGUUCAGGCACGAAAGCGUGGGGAGCAAACAGG
Molecule: ribosomal RNA, 253 nt
Filed under: uncultured bacterium
Lineage: Bacteria
Description: partial 16S ribosomal RNA
Rfam family: Bacterial small subunit ribosomal RNA
Source: RNAcentral